GACGAACGCUGGCGGCGUGCUUAACACAUGCAAGUCGAACGAAAAUAUCAAGCUUGCUUGGUUGAUUAGUGGCGAACGGGUGAGUAACACGUGAGUAACCUGCCCCUUACUUUCCUGGAUAACUGCUCGAAAGGGUAGCUAAUACGGGAUAUUCUGACCAGCCUGCAUGGGUUGGUUUGGAAAGGUUGUUUUUCUGGUAAGGGAUGGGCUCGCGGCCUAUCAGCUUGUUGGUGGGGUGAUGGCCUACCAAGGCUUUGACGGGUAGCCGGCCUGAGAGGGUGGACGGUCACACUGGGACUGAGAUACGGCCCAGACUCCUACGGGAGGCAGCAGUGGGGAAUAUUGCACAAUGGGCGCAAGCCUGAUGCAGCGACGCCGCGUGAGGGAUGAAGGCCUUCGGGUUGUAAACCUCUUUCGUCAGGGAACAAGGCACUGCUUUUUUGGUGGUGUUGAGGGUACCUGGAUAAGAAGCGCCGGCUAACUACGUG
RNAcentral lists this ribosomal RNA (488 nucleotides) under uncultured bacterium. Its description in RNAcentral is "partial 16S ribosomal RNA". It matches the Rfam family "Bacterial small subunit ribosomal RNA", at positions 28 to 507 of the family's 1533-position model. The record is from RNAcentral.